GAUGAAGAACGUAGCGAAACGCGAUAAGUAAUGUGAAUUGCAGAAUCCAGUGAAUCAUCGAAUCUUUGAACGCACAUUGCGCCCGCCAGCAUUCUGGCGGGCAUGCCUGUUCGAGCGUCAUUUCAACCCUCGACCUCCCCUUGGGGAGGUCGGCGUUGGGGACCGGCAGCACACCGCCGGCCCUGAAAUGGAGUGGCGGCCCGUCCGCGGCGACCUCUGCGCAGUAAUACAGCUCGCACCGGGACCCCGACGCGGCCACGCCGUAAAACACCCAACUUCUGAACGUUGACCUCGAAUCAGGUAGGACUACCCGCUGAACUUAAGCAUACCAAUAAGCGGAGGA
RNAcentral lists this unclassified non-coding RNA (343 nucleotides) under soil metagenome. RNAcentral describes it as "partial contains 5.8S ribosomal RNA, internal transcribed spacer 2, and large subunit ribosomal RNA". The stretch from base 1 to 120 matches the Rfam family "5.8S ribosomal RNA", at positions 35 to 154 of the family's 154-position model. The record is from RNAcentral.